Chenopodium quinoa (quinoa) is the source of this 1233-nucleotide long non-coding RNA. RefSeq lists it as uncharacterized. Lineage: Eukaryota; Viridiplantae; Streptophyta; Magnoliopsida; Caryophyllales; Amaranthaceae. The transcript has 3 exons. The record is from RefSeq and is a predicted model, not a curated record.
CAUCACAAUCAUUUUACACCAGUUUAGUCUUUUUCUUAAUAAAUUAAUACGUUAUUGGUAGCACUUGAUGAAAAAGUUUUUGAGCCUGACUUGGCAACUAAUUAUUUGUUUUGUACUUUUUGACAGAACGAUUAGAAAUCAUUAUCCUCUAGUAGAGGAAGCUGGUUCUGGAUUCUAUUCCCCAUAGGAAAAGAAAAGUUUCACUGAACGAGAAGUCUCUAUCAACCGAACCAUCAAACAAAAGCAAGAGUAUUGAACUUUACUUUUCAGACUAGUAAUGGACUCAGAAUCAUGAGAACCUGUUCCAGUUUCAGGUAUCCAAACACUAUAUUUCAUUUGUAGUACAUUCACUACUAUAACUUAAAAGAAUAAAUUAAUCUUACUAUUAUGUACUGAGAUUGUAUGGUUGCUUUCAUUUAACACAUUUGGGCUGUUUUACACUACAAAAUUAAACCUAUGAAAGACUAGUUGCAAAUUAUAAAUUAUACUAUCCUGUUGGAUUCAGUGCCAUAAGAGUGCUAGCUACACAUGGAACAAAUGUCCACCGAUAUCUGUUUCAUGGUUCUGGAAUUGAAUUCUUUGAAUUUGUUUCAAACUUGUGUCCAGCUUUUUUUGUGUACACCCUACAAGUAAUCACUGGAUGCUAGCAGACAUUUCAAGUAUAAUGGUUCAUUGGUUCUGGGCAAUUUAUAUUGAUUGAUUAAUUGUCAUUAGCUAUUCACUUGAUAUAAUUUCAUGAUUACUUAUGAUAGCUUAGUUUUUACUAUAUAAUAAUGUCUCUUAUCCGGAUACUAGAGUAAUGAAAUUAACGGUAAUUGACAGUCUGAAUGCAUGAUGCUCUAGCAGUGUUUGAAAAGGCGCAACUAGGCGCUGAGGUGCAAGGCGUCACGGAUUAUGCACUUUUUGUGGUUUAGGCGAGGCGAUUUUGAUGAGGCGCAGCUUAAGGAGCACUGAAACUGAGUAUGUUCAAAGGAAUCUGAAACUGGGAACUUUUUGAGGCACGACAGAAUAGCUUUGAAUUUAUUUCUUACUUCACAAGCAUUGGCAAAGUAAUCUUACUGCAUACUCUUGCUGAUUUAGUGUAUAAUAAGUUUAGCUAUAGAACUUAAAAUGACUAGAAUUAGUACUUAUAAUUAGGUACUUAUAAUUGUAGAUGAAAUAACUGCUGAUUAUAUAAAGUAUUUGUAGAAUUGACAAGAUUCUUGCCACUUGAUAAAGGUGUUAUCUUGAUGA